This is a long non-coding RNA of Takifugu rubripes (torafugu), 1671 nucleotides long. The record is from Ensembl. NCBI's taxonomy places the organism in Eukaryota, Metazoa, Chordata, Actinopteri, Tetraodontiformes, Tetraodontidae.
UUGGGGAAUCCUUUUCUGCAGAUCCUGAUGCCUUCCAGCACACCGUUACAGCGCAGCUGGUGCAUGACCAGAGGAUUCUCCAUGGCCCCAGGAGUCUUGGUCUCAUUGGGGAUGAUGCAGCGCACAAAAUGAGGAUCACUCUUCUCUUAAUGUCAGAGAGGUUAAGUGGUUGCAGAUUUACACAGAGACCCACGCGCCAGAGCCAGUCUUUAGAUCUAGUUUACACUCAAAGCUUUUACAGCUAUGCUGUUGGCAUGUUGUCAGCAGCUAAAGGGAACCCUUCACUGACAACUCUGUCAUGACCUCCCCAAUGUUGUACUGUAGCUGCAGAAAGACAGAGGAGGAAGUUGAUACUGGAGUAACCGCCAUGGAUGCAGCGAAGGAUGUCAGGCAGCUGCUCAACUGGUGACUUUCAAAAUGCAACAACCCGGAGCAGGAAUGAAAAUGAGACAUCUUACUGGUGCUGGAGGUACAAGAAUCAAUGUUUAAUAUGACGGAAGACACAGAAAACCUCCCAAAUCCAGCUGAUUUGUCACAGAUUCCCUCUCACAGGGGUGGAAGGGAAACAACAAACAUGUUUCAGGAGCAAUUUAGAGGGUUUUUUUAUUCUCUCUGAGCACAGCGACAGGUAGACCUUCACCUGUUUACCGUCGACUGAUAAUUUUCCUGGGACCAACUGCAUAUUCCUCAAAUGCUCAAUGUGAAAUCAGACCCUCCCUCUAUAAAAGCUGUCCUCUAUGGAAGGAUGUGUUCACCAUCAUUAUCUCAUCAUUCUGAUACGUGCUCAGAGGAUUAAUAGACAAAGCAUGAUGGAUAUUAAUAAACCUUUUGUUUGUUACCUUGUGUGAACUUUGGUGCACGCACGCACGCACACACACACACACACACACACACACACACACACACACACACACACACACACACACACACACAGACUGUGUUGGAGCCAGGUUACUGGUCACACCAUCAGUGGUAUUUUCAGGCUGAGUAGCCAGAAAGAUAAGAGCCCCCUUUCACAGAAACAAAACAGAACCAAGCAAAAAUAACCCCGACAGCAGAGUCAGAGCCUGAAUAUUAGACGGUGAAUCCAGACGUGGCGAUGGACUCGCCCUCAUAGCUCAGCAUUUCACUGGCACUUUUAAACAUCCCGUGCGUGAAUUUAUGUAAGUUUUAUUGCGUGUCCUGGAUGUGGCAGAAAACUAGAAAGAUUAACUUCUGAUCUUAAUCCAAAUCAGAUUUAAAUUUCACAUCAGAAUCCAUUUUAAAAUCUGGAUACAAUCAGCUUUACAGAGGAUCAACAGCAGCACUGUUUACAAAAAGCCCUGAUUUGCCGGGAGAGUUUUAAAGCAAGGUUGAGCAGAAUUUUGAUAUUUAAACUAUUUCUCAGUUAGCCACCAUUUGGUCUGUAUGCUGCUGCUGGUGAUGGAAUCCUGAUAGAUAAAGCCAACAUGUCCAUGUAUAAACUACCUCUACACUAACGAAACAGCCCCCAUUUGAAUUGACUUCAGCGUCUAAAACACAAUGAUUUAUUCCAGAAGCCCGUCCAUCCUCUUUUAGCUGCUGUGUUGGACCACCUUCAGCAGCGGAAUGGAGCAGAACAGGUCACAUCAGGCAGCUGUCUGUGAUUGCACCCACUGUUUUGGUGGGAUUUGAGGUGAGAUGCUACAGCUG